GAGGUGAACAUGGGGAGGAGGUUUUAUAGGCUUGGAUGUGUCCAAAGCCAAACUGUAGUCCCAGCCUCUGCUUCAUUCCUGGGGCAGCCUCAGGCAACUCGUAUCUUCUCUGUGGUCUGUCACCUGUGACUCCUGAUUCCUGGAGUCCCUUCUAAUGCCAUGGUUCUGUGGUUGUGUGGCAAGGGCAAUGGGUUGGUCACCGAAAUUUCUCUUCCUGUUCUUGGUGCAUUCCUUACUGUGCUACCUCUGAUUACAGCAUAAAUAACGAGGACCUGAAGCAGCAGAACUCAGAAUUGGAAGAGAAGCUCCGUGUGGUGCUGGCAGAGAAAGCAGCUAUGCAGCUGGGGGCGGAGGAGCUCCAAAAGAAGCUGGAGAUGUCUGAGCUGCUGCUGCAACAAGUGAGGCAGCAGCCCCAGCAGCCCGAGCACUGGCUCCGUGCGGUUGUCAGGGUGGCCUCCAGCCAAGAGCUGGAAAAUUUGGGUUCUUAUCUGGUCCUGCCAUAGAAUCUUCC
This 511-nucleotide long non-coding RNA is filed under the name Marmota monax (woodchuck). The record is from RNAcentral. Lineage: Eukaryota; Metazoa; Chordata; Mammalia; Rodentia; Sciuridae.